Molecule: unclassified non-coding RNA, 190 nt
Filed under: air metagenome
Description: partial contains small subunit ribosomal RNA, internal transcribed spacer 1, and 5.8S ribosomal RNA
Rfam family: Eukaryotic small subunit ribosomal RNA (bases 1-46)
Source: RNAcentral
AAGUCGUAACAAGGUUUCCGUAGGUGAACCUGCGGAAGGAUCAUUAUUGAUUGAGCCAUGUGCUCUCAUAACAACCAUCCAACACACAUGUGAACCGUUUGACCUCCGGGUCUACCACAAACAUCAGUGUAAAGAACGUCUUGUUAUCUUAACAAAAACAAAACUUUCAACAACGGAUCUCUUGGCUCUC